This 501-nucleotide ribosomal RNA is filed under the name uncultured bacterium. Its description in RNAcentral is "partial 16S ribosomal RNA". It matches the Rfam family "Bacterial small subunit ribosomal RNA", at positions 30 to 523 of the family's 1533-position model. The record is from RNAcentral.
AUUGAACGCUGGCGGCAGGCUUAACACAUGCAAGUCGAGCGGGGGAAGGUAGCUUGCCACCGGACCUAGCGGCGGACGGGUGAGUAAUGCUUAGGAAUCUGCCUAUUAGUGGGGGACAACAUCUCGAAAGGGAUGCUAAUACCGCAUACGUCCUACGGGAGAAAGCAGGGGAUCUUCGGACCUUGCGCUAAUAGAUGAGCCUAAGUCGGAUUAGCUAGUUGGUGGGGUAAAGGCCUACCAAGGCGACGAUCUGUAGCGGGUCUGAGAGGAUGAUCCGCCACACUGGGACUGGGACACGGCCCAGACUCCUACGGGAGGCAGCAGUGGGGAAUAUUGGACAAUGGGGGGAACCCUGAUCCAGCCAUGCCGCGUGUGUGAAGAAGGCCUUAUGGUUGUAAAGCACUUUAAGCGAGGAGGAGGCUACUCUAGUUAAUACCUAGGGAUAGUGGACGCUACUCGCAGAAUAAGCACCGGCUAACUCUGUGCCAGCAGCCGCCGUAA